RNAcentral lists this ribosomal RNA (432 nucleotides) under uncultured bacterium. Its description in RNAcentral is "bacterial SSU rRNA". It matches the Rfam family "Bacterial small subunit ribosomal RNA", at positions 29 to 458 of the family's 1533-position model. The record is from RNAcentral.
AUUGAACGCUGGCGGAAUGCUUUACACAUGCAAGUCGAGCGGCAGCGCGGGGGCAACCCUGGCGGCGAGCGGCGAACGGGUGAGUAACAUAUCGGAACGUACCCCGUCGUGGGGGAUAACACAGCGAAAGCUGUGCUAAUACCGCGUACGACCUGAGGGUGAAAGCGGGGGAUCGCAAGACCUCGCGCGAUGGGAGCGGCCGAUAUCGGAUUAGCUUGUUGGUGAGGUAAAGGCUCACCAAGGCGACGAUCCGUAGCUGGUCUGAGAGGACGACCAGCCACACUGGAACUGAGACACGGUCCAGACUCCUACGGGAGGCAGCAGUGGGGAAUUUUGGACAAUGGGGGCAACCCUGAUCCAGCCAUUUCGCGUGAGUGAAGAAGGCCUCGGGUUGGUUAAAGACGUACUUUCUAGCAGGAACGAAACGGUAGG